CUGUAACUUUAAUCCAAUGGUCUAACUAAAGAUAGCCCAUUCCAAAAGGGAGCCAUGUCCACCCACCAGCAUGCCACAGGGAAUCUGGAUGUACUUGAGGUUGGCACAUAAUUCUUACUUUUGUCUGUGAGACAUCAAAAAACAGGUUUAUAAAACUCAUAGCAUCAAGAUGUUUCCAAAAUCUAACUGGUGCUCCUUUGUUGUAUCCAGGGGAAUUGAACUUUUUUGUUUACUGGAAUUUUUAGACUUCAAAAGCCGUAACUUGAAAAGUACUCGUGGCCUCCAUGGUGAUUUUUAUCCCACACAGGCCUUUUGCUCAGUGGCACAAUUUUGUCUGUUGAAGAGCCUGGCCAGAGGACAGAUCACUUUUAUAGCAUGAGCAAGAGAACUAAAAGCAUAUGUAAAUCUUGCUGACCUAAAAGCAAAGACAAGAUGCCCAGAGACAAGAUGCACACCUAGCUCUGACUUACACAGGAUUGACAGGCAACUGAACAAAUCUUGAUUCUCUUACCAAAGCCUUUUCAUUUAAAAUGUUGACCAUUUCCUAUUUUCCCCAUCUUCCUUUGCUUGAGGUCGUGACUAUCAACUGAUAAAAUUAGUGAUAGUUUGGGUCCACACAUAAAUUGAAGAUAAUGUUAAAAUAUAAACAUUUAAACCAUUAUAUUUGUUUCGUAACAAGCCAAUUCUUUUUUUUUUUUUUUUUUGGCGGAACCAGGAUUGAACUCAGGAUCUUGUACUUGCCAGGUGGGUGCUGGGGCCACUGAGCUAAACCUCCGGCCCACAAGCCAAUUCUUAUAUGACCAAUGUUUAAGUCAUAAUAGCAACACAAAAAGCUAACUACUGCAUCAUGCUGACCAGAAUUACCUGUCAUGUCCAACAGUUCAUGACCUAGCAACUUUGACACUAAGAACAAAGGGGUUAGGGAAUUUUUUUUUUUAAGUUCAGCACCUUGUCAACUUCACUGAUUUGCCUCAAGCUGAUGAUCAUAUACUUUCCAACACUUGUAAAUCUUGAAUCUGUGAUAACAAAGGCACAGUUGUGCCAGUUUGGAGACAGGAAGCCAUCAAACCAAAUGUAGUUUAAUUCAGAUAAGCACCUAUCAAUAUUCAAAAGGCAAUACAAGUAAUUCCAGGGACAUUAAGCCUUGGUGAAAUGCCAAAUAGAAAAUGGUGUUUUAAAAGGUAAUCUAAAAUGUAAGGAAUAAGGAAAAAACAUUUUAAGAGUUCCUGAUAGCUUAGGUCAAGUAGACAAGAUUAAGAGGAAGAAAUUCAAGCUGGGCACAGUGGCACACGUGUAAUCCCAGCACUCAGGAGGCUGGAGGGUCACAAGUUCCAGGCUAGCCUGGACUACUUAGCAAAAACUUGCAAAGGAAAAACAAUUAACAAAUUUUUACAUAAGCACUUUGAAAAUACCCAUUCCCCUUAACUGUAAGUUACAUAUUUUAUCUAUUAAAGUCCAAGAAGUUGUACUUGGCAAGAAUCCUGGCAAUAUCUUGUGCCAAAUCACUGUAUAAACUUGGAAG
Molecule: long non-coding RNA, 1522 nt
Filed under: Heterocephalus glaber (naked mole-rat)
Lineage: Eukaryota; Metazoa; Chordata; Mammalia; Rodentia; Bathyergidae
Description: lncRNA (ENSHGLG00100040341.1)
Source: RNAcentral